UUACUACAACCUCACCACUUAAUCAUAUCUCAUCCAUUAAGCUUUGCUAGGCUUGAUACCUUUGUAAAUAAGAUUGCUCGGUCCGUGUGGCUCGGAGAUUACUACAAAAACAGUUCCAGGUACAGGUUAAGCGAUACUUUGACGUGAGUGCGAUGAUUGUUCUAUUCAGAGUUCUUCUUUUUUUCAUCGAUCAUAGGAUGAUUUCCACGCCGGUAUCCUGGGAUAGCAAGGAUGAACUUGUUUUUGUUGUUUGAUUGUGUCCGUAGUCGGACCCAGCUCUUCUGACUAGUGACUAAAUGCAUGUUUGUAUUGAUAUGAUCAUUAUUAGCUUGUGAUGAGUGUAAGACAAUUCCAUAUACU
This 360-nucleotide long non-coding RNA is filed under the name Hordeum vulgare. Its description in RNAcentral is "long non-coding RNA (HVUL_LNC009819)". The record is from RNAcentral. Lineage: Eukaryota; Viridiplantae; Streptophyta; Magnoliopsida; Poales; Poaceae.